This 1511-nucleotide long non-coding RNA is filed under the name Homo sapiens (human). RNAcentral describes it as "HSALNT0114401". The record is from RNAcentral. Lineage: Eukaryota; Metazoa; Chordata; Mammalia; Primates; Hominidae.
ACAUCUUCCAAAAUCUAGGCGGAGGUUCCCAAACCUCAAUUCCUAACUUCCGUGCAACCACAGGCACAUAUAAUGCUGUAUAUAUUUGUAAAAGAACAACUUGUAAGUGUUUAUCUUUUGUUUACCCUUUCAUUAUUCAUGAGAUAUUUUUAACUUUCUCCUUUUAAACUCUUGCUGCAUUUCAAAUUUGUAUUCCUAUCUCAGUGUAUACAUGGAUGAAGGUGUGUGUAUAUGUGUUGAUAGAUUUUUUUUUUCCUUGAGGAUUUUGGAUUUUGUGCCUUACUUAAAGUACUAUAGCUGUUUCAUAGGUAGAGAAAUAUAUCCCAUACUGGAAUUCUAGUAAUUUACUGAUUUCGUUGUUUUUUACAUUGAACUCAUUGUUCCAACUAGAACUUACUUUUAAAUGUAAAAUAGAGAAGAAAGGCAUUGUUUUUUCUGUUGCCGACAAUGCAGUUGUUGGAAAACCAUUCCUUGAUUAUAAAAAUAAUUCCAUCAUUAAUUUUAAAAGUCAUAUUUACAACAUACUAAAUUGCAAUAUUUUUCAUUAACUAAAUUUUUUCUUUGAACUGCACCUGCUCUCUUUCAAGUAAGGCACUAAGUAUGCAAUUGCUUUUGAAAAAUAGGUGAGUUUUUUUAAAGGAAUGAAUGGUGUUGAUAUUUGCAGAGAUACUGAAAUGAAAUCUACCAAAGAUUGACAAGAUAUUAGGGAAAAUAAUUUUUUAAAGACUAGACACUGCUAGUAUCUAAAGAAAUAGCAGGCUGAACAGCAGGCAAUCAAGUUUUUAAUUUUAAUGGAUUGGCUUAUACUUUGCCUCCUCCUAUAGACUGGUGCUUUUUGAAUGAAACUAUAUCUCCCUUUCCAUUUUGUGGGACUUAUGUUUAAUAAUACAAGAACUCAAACAUGAGAAAAGGGGGUAAACAUACAUAUACAUAUGUACAUGCAAUACAUAUACAUAUGUACAUGCAAUACAUAUACAUAUGUAUAUGCAAUACAUAUGUAUAUAUAUAAAAAAUAAAUUUGAUUAGAAGCAUGUUAAUCCCAAGAACAUAUUUUAAAUCAUCUGCAUGUUCCAAUAUUUACUUGAACUAGUGAAUACACACAGUAAUUAGGCUACUUUCAUCAAUCAUAAUUACAGUUUUAUACUUUUAAUUUUUAGGAUUCAUAAAUUAAAACUAAAACUUAUCAAAUUUAUGACUAUCAGUAAUGUCAUUGUCCCUUAAGAGUUAACAAAAGAGCUUCUGUACAGUAAAAGAAACUAUCAUCAGAGUGAACAGGCAACCUACAGAAUGGGUGAAAAUUUUUGCAAUCUACACUUCUGACAAAUGUCUAAUAUCCAGAAUUUGCAAGGAACUUAAACAUAUUUACAAGAAAAAACAGCCCCAUCGAAAAGUGGGCAAAGGAUAUGAACAGACACUUCUUAAUGGAAGACAUUUAUGUGGCCAAAAAACAUAUGAAAAAAGCUCAAGAUCACUGAUCAUCAGAGAAAUGCAAAUCAAAUCCACAACGAGAG